This 72-nucleotide transfer RNA is filed under the name Balantiocheilos melanopterus (tricolor sharkminnow). RNAcentral describes it as "tRNA-Asp". It matches the Rfam family "tRNA". From Rfam's summary of the family: Transfer RNA (tRNA) molecules are approximately 80 nucleotides in length. Their secondary structure includes four short double-helical elements and three loops (D, anti-codon, and T loops). The record is from RNAcentral. Lineage: Eukaryota; Metazoa; Chordata; Actinopteri; Cypriniformes; Cyprinidae.
AAGACAUUAGUAAAAUGUACAUUACACCACCUUGUCAAGAUGGAAUUGCAGGUUAAACCCCUACAUGUCUUA